GAAAUGCGAUAAGUAAUGUGAAUUGCAGAAUUCAGUGAAUCAUCGAAUCUUUGAACGCACAUUGCGCCCGCCAGUAUUCUGGCGGGCAUGCCUGUUCGAGCGUCAUUACAACCCUCAGGCCCCCGGGCCUGGCGUUGGGGAUCGGCGGAAGCCCCCUGCGGGCACAACGCCGUCCCCCAAAUACAGUGGCGGUCCCGCCGCAGCUUCCAUUGCGUAGUAGCUAACACCUCGCACCUGGAGAGCGGCGCGGCCACGCCGUAAAACACCCAACUUCUGAAUGUUGACCUCGAAUCAGGUAGGAAUACCCGCUGAACUUAAGC
This 320-nucleotide unclassified non-coding RNA is filed under the name plant metagenome. RNAcentral describes it as "partial contains 5.8S ribosomal RNA, internal transcribed spacer 2, and large subunit ribosomal RNA". The stretch from base 1 to 105 matches the Rfam family "5.8S ribosomal RNA", at positions 50 to 154 of the family's 154-position model. The record is from RNAcentral.